CAGUAGCCGCGGUAACACAGAGGGUGCGAGCGUUAAUCGGAUUUACUGGGCGUAAAGCGUGCGUAGGCGGCUUUUUAAGUCGGAUGUGAAAUCCCUGAGCUUAACUUAGGAAUUGCAUUCGAUACUGGGAAGCUAGAGUAUGGGAGAGGAUGGUAGAAUUCCAGGUGUAGCGGUGAAAUGCGUAGAGAUCUGGAGGAAUACCGAUGGCGAAGGCAGCCAUCUGGCCUAAUACUGACGCUGAGGUACGAAAGCAUGGGGAGCAAACAGGAUUAGAUACCCCUGUAGUCCCUGUCUCUUAUAC
Molecule: ribosomal RNA, 301 nt
Filed under: uncultured bacterium
Lineage: Bacteria
Description: partial 16S ribosomal RNA
Rfam family: Bacterial small subunit ribosomal RNA
Source: RNAcentral